This is a long non-coding RNA of Brienomyrus brachyistius, 1539 nucleotides long. RefSeq lists it as uncharacterized. The transcript is spliced from 3 exons. NCBI's taxonomy places the organism in Eukaryota, Metazoa, Chordata, Actinopteri, Osteoglossiformes, Mormyridae. The record is from RefSeq and is a predicted model, not a curated record.
CCGACAAAUCGUCACGCCUUCGCCAGCACUGGCCUGUAAACAGCAUGUCACGAUUUCACAGUGCCGUGUUGCGGGGACCCACGCUCGGCAACAGGGUUCCGGAAAGUUCACCCUUGCCCCGCCGGGCACGGCCAGGCCCCUGUGUACUCGCACUUUGCGGAUGUUGUUCACGGAGAAAACUGACUGCCUUCAGCAGAGAUGCCCUGGGAAGCAGAGACACGGCUCCUCUUCUUGAUGCUGGGGUUCGUCCUUCAGUGAAUGGCGAGGGGACCGAGCAGAUCCACAUCUUCUGUGCUGUGAUAUGUGCUCCUCCACCGCUAGGCAUGUCACCUGAGAUGCCGGGCCGCUUUCCUGGUCCCGCCUCCGCAAUGUGCCGUCGGAUUGGCUGAGAGCAAGGUGUCUCAGGGAGUCUGUCAGCCCAAACGCCCCGGGGGCAGAUUCCAUCAGACCCGGCUUCCUCCUCUCCGAAGGCUACCCUGCCUUCUUGAUGGCUUUGUCAUCCGUGAACCUGCAACCAGCCGUGCGAUUCCUGCCUUGCUGUUCCCACGGGUCAAUGCUGCAGAACCGGUUUGGGGAAAAAGAAAAUAGCUUGUGGGAGUAGCUGUCAGCUGUUCUCCUCACUGGUUGCACUAGAGGAGCUGAAUCGGUGUGGAUGUGAAUGUGUGACAGUGGUAGACAAUUCCAUUACUGUCUGAGAACAUUUUAUGAUCCAAGCACUUUGAUUCUUAUCAUUAUAACAGGGCUAGAGUGGCCUUUCCAUUGUGUAGGCCUAUAGACAGCAUGUUUAGAUUUCACUGUGGGGUGUUGUUGCUUGGAGACACACAGGAAUGAUAUAAAGAUGAAAUAAUGCAUCGCAGCACUGAUCUGCCAAUAGAAAUCCAGUAUGUUACAGAGAGAACAGGUUAUUUAUGUAAAAUUGGUUGAAAUAGGUCCAGAUUCAGUGAUGAGAAUAAUUUCACCGCUUCGGUGUUUCUUUGCUCAUUUUUAUAUUUCUGAAUAGUUCCAGGGAGGGAAGUAUUGCUGAGCCUUGGCCAACCUGCACCAGCAUUUUACCCAUAAUCCCUUGCGCCAGUCACAUGACACAAGAAGUCACGUAGUAUGACAAGGUGUGACCAACAAUGUCGAAAUCAGAAGAGUCCUCCAGAGCUCCAAGUGUGAAUUGGGAUCCAAAGGGUGGCAGGAGAUCUGGAGGCUAUGGGUACAAGGCAGGGAACGACCCAGGAUGGGGCGCCAACCCAUUGGUGGGCACAGACACACACCACUCGCUCCCACUUGUGGGCAAUUUGGUAACUCCUUUCAACCUGAGCAUGUUUUUGGAGUUUGGGGGAGGUUGGGAAACUGAAGCACCUGGAGGAAACCCCACAAUGCAACAGGGAGAACAUGGAAACUCCACAAUGCAACAGGGAGAACAUGGAAACCCCACAAUGCAACAGGGAGAACAUGGAAACUCCACACACUUGUAAUCCCAGUGGAGACUCAAAUCCAGGCCCCAGAGGUAUGAGGCAACUGUACCAGCACUACCUCACCCCCCCCCCCCCA